AUUGAACGCUGGCGGCAGGCCUAACACAUGCAAGUCGAGCGAGCGGCGGACGGGUGAGUAAUGUAUGGGGACUGCCCGAUAGAGGGGGAUAACUACUGGAAACGGUGGCUAAUACCGCAUACUAUCGGAUAACCCAUAUGGGAUUAGCUGGUAGGUGGGGUAAGGGCUCACCUGGGCGACGAUCCCUAGCUGGUCUGAGAGGAUGAUCACCCACACUGAGACUGAGACACGCCCUAGACUCCUACGGAGGCAGCAGUGGGGAAUAUUGCACAAUGGGCGCAAGCCUGAUGCAGCCAUGCCGCGUGUAUGAAGAAGACCUUAGGGUUGUAAUGUACUUUCAGCCGGGAGGCGUUACCUGCAGAAAAAGCACCGGCUAACUCCGUGCCAGCAGCCGCGGUAAUAC
RNAcentral lists this ribosomal RNA (403 nucleotides) under uncultured bacterium. RNAcentral's name for it is "partial 16S ribosomal RNA". It matches the Rfam family "Bacterial small subunit ribosomal RNA", at positions 30 to 526 of the family's 1533-position model. The record is from RNAcentral.